UACGUAGGCAGCAAGCGUUGUUCGGAGUUACUGGGCGUAAAGGGUGCGUAGGCGGCUUUUUAAGUUUGGUGUGAAAUCUCCCGGCUCAACCGGGAGGGUGCGCCGAAUACUGAGAGGCUAGAGUGCGGGAGAGGAAAGUGGAAUUCCUGGUGUAGCGGUGAAAUGCGUAGAUAUCAGGAGGAACACCGGUGGUGUAAACGGCUUUCUGGACCGUAACUGACGCUGAGGCACGAAAGCGUGGGGAGCAAACAGG
This 253-nucleotide ribosomal RNA is filed under the name uncultured bacterium. RNAcentral describes it as "partial 16S ribosomal RNA". It matches the Rfam family "Bacterial small subunit ribosomal RNA", at positions 524 to 776 of the family's 1533-position model. The record is from RNAcentral.